This is a small nuclear RNA of Otolemur garnettii (small-eared galago), 107 nucleotides long. Lineage: Eukaryota; Metazoa; Chordata; Mammalia; Primates; Galagidae. The record is from Ensembl.
GUGCUUGCUUUGGCAGCACAUAUUCUAAAAUUAGAACAAUACAGAGAAGAUUAGCAUGGUCCCUGCGCAAGGAUGACAUGCAAAUUCAUGAAGCGUUCCAUAUUUUU